Molecule: ribosomal RNA, 382 nt
Filed under: uncultured eukaryote
Lineage: Eukaryota
Description: partial 18S ribosomal RNA
Rfam family: Eukaryotic small subunit ribosomal RNA
Source: RNAcentral
CAAUAGCGUAUAUUAAAGUUGUUGCAGUUAAAAAGCUCGUAGUUGGAUUUCUGGUGAGAUGGAUUAUGUCUAGGUCGAAAGAUCUUGUUCAUGGUUCGUUUUGCCCUUCUUGUCAGGAACCCGCUGAGAUUCGCGUCUUGUCGGUGGAAUGGCAUCGUUUACUGUGAAAAAAUUAGAGUGUUCAAAGCAGGCAUCGCCGUUGAAUACAUUAGCAUGGAAUAAUAAGAUAAGACUUUGGUGGUCUAUUUUGUUGGUUUGCACGCCAAAGUAAUGAUUAAUAGGGAUAGUUGGGGGUAUUUGUAUUCUAUUGCUAGAGGUGAAAUUCUUAAAUUUAUGGAAGACGAACUACUGCGAAAGCAUUUACCAAGGAUGUUUUCAUUAA